UACGAAGGGGGCUAGCGUUGCUCGGAAUUACUGGGCGUAAAGCGCACGUAGGCGGCUUUCUAAGUCGGGGGUGAAAUCCUGGAGCUCAACUCCAGAACUGCCUUCGAUACUGGAAAGCUCGAGUCCGGGAGAGGUGAGUGGAACUGCGAGUGUAGAGGUGAAAUUCGUAGAUAUUCGCAAGAACACCAGUGGCGAAGGCGGCUCACUGGACCGGUACUGACGCUGAGGUGCGAAAGCUAGGGGAGCAAACAGG
This 253-nucleotide ribosomal RNA is filed under the name uncultured bacterium. Its description in RNAcentral is "partial 16S ribosomal RNA". It matches the Rfam family "Bacterial small subunit ribosomal RNA", at positions 524 to 776 of the family's 1533-position model. The record is from RNAcentral.